Molecule: transfer RNA, 74 nt
Filed under: Anguilla anguilla (European eel)
Lineage: Eukaryota; Metazoa; Chordata; Actinopteri; Anguilliformes; Anguillidae
Description: tRNA-OTHER
Source: RNAcentral
GGCAGUGUAAUAUAAUGGGUAAGGAACUAGUCUUGUAACCUAAAGGUCACAGGUUCGAUUCACUGCCGUUGUAC